Mangifera indica (mango) is the source of this 976-nucleotide RNA transcript. RefSeq lists it as uncharacterized. The record is from RefSeq and is a predicted model, not a curated record. The transcript is spliced from 2 exons. NCBI's taxonomy places the organism in Eukaryota, Viridiplantae, Streptophyta, Magnoliopsida, Sapindales, Anacardiaceae.
AAAACAUGGCUAAAAACUUAUUUCAAACGAAAAGGCCAAAAUAUAGUUUACAGUUUCACUGUUAGACUGUAAGUUUGUAACCUGCCAAGUCCAUGUCCAACUCCAACACCAAUUUAUUUCUUCAACCCGUUAAUGUAGGUAAAAUCCCACCAUCACCACUCAUGAAAAUCCAAAUCCAAUUCAAAGCGUAACCCAAUUUAGAAUACGAAUAACCACCUGAACUCCAAGUUUUGCGCGUGCGUGUGACCACCACUUACUAGUCCUUGUUUGCAGAUUCUGAUCCCCCUUUACACUCUUCUUCUCCCACAUUACAUACAUUACAUAUGUACAUACAUAUAUAAGCUUCUGUUGACACUUAGAUCCUUCUCUUUUUAGUUUCACAGGAACCGAAACAAUCAACGAACCCAUUGACAUAAGUUACAGAGGCGAACACACGAGAGUAAAAGUGUCAUCUACAUUGAAGCGAAAGGGUAUCUGUCAUUUUUAUUAGACUCCUCGGAGACUAAUCAUGAGUCUAGCAUGUCUAGUGUGCCAUAACGUCGAAAGUCCAUCACACUCCUUCAGGAGUUAUUCCGUUUCAAGUUCAGACAAUGAAGGGAGAUGUUUGGCCAUAGCCAACUGCUUAGCCAGGAAAGCUCUUCCAGCUCCAAGAUCAGCUUCUUCAAUAGGGUCCUCAUCCAAAGUCACCCCACAGCCCUGUAUUCAAGGCAGCAUGGGAAUGGAAGGCACUCCACGGCUAGUCCGGAGUUGUGCAGUGAGAAGGGACAUUGUUCGAGACUGGAAUUUUGAUGAGUUGGCAACAGACCGUUAAUUAUUAUCCCUUUUCUUUUUUCUAUUAAAUCCAAGGUCUAAGAGGGGAGGACUCUCUUCUUUGAUCUUGGAAUAGUAUUAGAGCUUUUGUAUUAUAUUUUCUAUUUUAGAAUUUGUAAUGGUUGGAAUUGAACUCACUUUGAAUGUGAAACAUUGUUUAUGUCCA